Long non-coding RNA from Quercus robur (English oak), 1270 nucleotides. RefSeq lists it as uncharacterized. The transcript is spliced from 4 exons. Lineage: Eukaryota; Viridiplantae; Streptophyta; Magnoliopsida; Fagales; Fagaceae. The record is from RefSeq and is a predicted model, not a curated record.
CCCUUUUAUUCAGUGAUAUCAUGGGUAGUGCGACGGUUUGGUUUGGUUUACGCAAAAUGGGAAAGGUGAGGGGAAGGGGAUGAUGUUCCAGUUCCACAAUGCUACUGACUGAGAAAAGGGUUUAACCAAACGAAUUGCUGCUGCUAUUGGUGAGCAUUUCAGGAUGGACGUGAGGGGGGCUUUGAUCAACAUGGUAUUACCAAAGAGGUGAGGUCCAAACAAGAGAUGGCAUCACGGUGGCAAUGUCCUAGAGUGAAUGACCAACAGGUUCUAGCCAGGAUGAAAAUCAUUAUUGGAGCACAAGAUUCAUCAAUUUCAACAGCUCUUUUUUACUCAGAUUCCAAACAUUAUUACAAUCUUUUACUCAAAUCCCAAACAUUACGUAUACCUAAUUUUAAAAGUAAUAAACUAUAAAAUAUAUCAUUUCACAACCCACACAAAACGCCACAAAACCCCCAACAACAAAUAUUUUACUUUCUGUGUAUUCACCAACCACAUAUCAUGGAACUAAGUGGAGGAUUGUACUUCCAAAGCCUGUGAGUGUGAGACAUGAGGAGUUAGAAAGGAUUAAAAAAGAUGGUGGCCAUAUUGUUUAUCGAGAUGGCUUACGAGUUCAUGGAAUCCUCCAUAUGUCUCGCUCACUAGUAUUUCUCCAUAAAAAGUGUAAUGGGACCAACAACUGAGGUGGAGUCCUCUCUCAAAGAACAUAACGCAUACCACACCUAUAACUACAACCUUUACUAUGAACUAUGAAGCUAGGGAUGAGGAGGCAUCAUCUUUAGCACUACUAAUAGAACAUCUUAAACACAAAGAAACAAUGUCACAAACGAAGGAACCUCGACCCAACAAGCUAUUGCAGCAAUUGAGCCUUCAUUAUCAUCAACUGGUAAUGUGAAGGGGUUGGACAAUAACGAAAUGAACAUGUCCGACUGCUAUUGUUGAUCCUGGAUUGCUCCCCGAAGUUAACAAGAAUUAUUAUUCUCUUAUCGACAUGAAGACAAGAGCUAAACCAAUACCAAUGAGAUUUCAAGCAUUGAUUAUUUUGUUUGAAAAUUUUCCCCAUAUGCAUAACUGAUUUAAAAGUGUAUAUAUGGGAAAAGAAAGAUGCAUUCUUUGAAUUUUUUAUUGCUUAGAAUUUGAAAAGGUGGGGCGGAAAAUUGGAAAAGAAAAUCCAUUUUCUAUACAAGCUGGUUUUGUGUUUCUGGUUAUAUAAUAUCGUUCCCGGACCCUUGCAAUACUAGAAAAUAAAAUUAUAAAUACAGUUUUUGCC